RNAcentral lists this unclassified non-coding RNA (361 nucleotides) under uncultured soil eukaryote. Its description in RNAcentral is "sequence contains 5.8S rRNA gene, ITS2, 28S rRNA gene". The stretch from base 260 to 361 matches the Rfam family "Eukaryotic large subunit ribosomal RNA", at positions 1 to 103 of the family's 3401-position model. The record is from RNAcentral.
UCGUCUUUGUGGUGGAUCACUUGGGUGUUGUGACGAUGAAGAACGUAGCAAGCCGCGUUAUUUAAUGUGACAUGCAAAGCUCGUGAAACAUCGAAUUGUCGAACAUAUACACUACUGGCCAACAUACGUGUCUGUCCAGUACUUGUUUGAGAGUGUCAGCCUUUAACUUUGUGGACAAGAGUGUGACUCGAGAUCGUUGAUCAGAGUCGAAGUGAAUCUUGUUUAUUCAGAUAGUGAUGAUCAAUCGCUAUUCAUUUUCUGACCUCUCCUGUGAGAGAUUACCUACUGAAUUUAAGCAUAUUAGUAAGUAGAGGAAAAGAAAUCAAAAGAGAUUCCCUUAGUAGCGGCGAGUGAAACGGGA